GAUGAACGCUGGCGGCGUGCCUAAUACAUGCAAGUCGAGCGAACGGACGAGAAGCUUGCUUCUCUGAUGUUAGCGGCGGACGGGUGAGUAACACGUGGAUAACCUACCUAUAAGACUGGGAUAACUUCGGGAAACCGGAGCUAAUACCGGAUAAUAUUUUGAACCGCAUGGUUCAAAAGUGAAAGACGAUCUUGCUGUCACUUAUAGAUGGAUCCGCGCUGCAUUAGCUAGUUGGUAAGGUAACGGCUUACCAAGGCAACGAUGCAGAGCCGACCUGAGAGGGUGAUCGGCCACACUGGAACUGAGACACGGUCCAGACUCCUACGGGAGGCAGCAGUAGGGAAUCUUCCGCAAUGGGCGAAAGCCUGACGGAGCAACGCCGCGUGAGUGAUGAAGGUCUUCGGAUCGUAAAACUCUGUUAUUAGGGAAGAACAUAUGUGUAAGUAACUGUGCACAUCUUGACGGUACCUAAUCAGAAAGCCACGGCUAACUACGUG
RNAcentral lists this ribosomal RNA (497 nucleotides) under uncultured bacterium. RNAcentral's name for it is "partial 16S ribosomal RNA". It matches the Rfam family "Bacterial small subunit ribosomal RNA", at positions 28 to 507 of the family's 1533-position model. The record is from RNAcentral.